This 492-nucleotide ribosomal RNA is filed under the name uncultured bacterium. RNAcentral describes it as "partial 16S ribosomal RNA". It matches the Rfam family "Bacterial small subunit ribosomal RNA", at positions 29 to 507 of the family's 1533-position model. The record is from RNAcentral.
AGUGAACGCUGGCGGUAGGCCUAACACAUGCAAGUCGAACGGCAGCACAGUAAGAGCUUGCUCUUACGGGUGGCGAGUGGCGGACGGGUGAGGAAUACAUCGGAAUCUACUUUUUCGUGGGGGAUAACGUAGGGAAACUUACGCUACUACCGCAUACGACCUACGGGUGAAAGCAGGGGAUCUUCGGACCUUGCGCGAUUGAAUGAGCCGAUGUCGGAUUAGCUAGUUGGCGGGGUAAAGGCCCACCAAGGCGACGAUCCGUAGCUGGUCUGAGAGGAUGAUCAGCCACACUGGAACUGAGACACGGUCCAGACUCCUACGGGAGGCAGCAGUGGGGAAUAUUGGACAAUGGGCGCAAGCCUGAUCCAGCCAUGCCGCGUGGGUGAAGAAGGCCUUCGGGUUGUAAAGCCCUUUUGUUGGGAAAGAAAAGCAGCAGGUUAAUACCCCGCUGUUCUGACGGUACCCAAAGAAUAAGCACCGGCUAACUUCGUG